CAGAUAGAGGCGCAAUUUUUAUUAGUCGUGUUUUUGAGUACGAUAGGGUACCUUGAAAAAACAUUAAAGGAAAAGUUGCCGAAAUCGAUUUAUCCCUAUUCGGUAGGUCGGUUGGGCUAUUACUUAAGAGGUAGUAGACUGUCGUACGUCUA
Molecule: non-coding RNA, 152 nt
Filed under: uncultured Companilactobacillus sp.
Lineage: Bacteria; Bacillati; Bacillota; Bacilli; Lactobacillales; Lactobacillaceae
Description: Lysine riboswitch
Rfam family: Lysine riboswitch aptamer
About the family: Riboswitches are metabolite binding domains within certain messenger RNAs that serve as precision sensors for their corresponding targets. Allosteric rearrangement of mRNA structure is mediated by ligand binding, and this results in modulation of gene expression.
Source: RNAcentral